Molecule: ribosomal RNA, 472 nt
Filed under: uncultured organism
Description: partial 16S ribosomal RNA
Rfam family: Bacterial small subunit ribosomal RNA
Source: RNAcentral
CACUCCUGCGGGAGGCAGCAGUGGGGAAUAUUGCACAAUGGGCGCAAGCCUGAUGCAGCCAUGCCGCGUGUAUGAAGAAGGCCUUCGGGUUGUAAAGUACUUUCAGCGGGGAGGAAGGCGAUAAGGUUAAUAACCUUGUUGAUUGACGUUACCCGCAGAAGAAGCACCGGCUAACUCCGUGCCAGCAGCCGCGGUAAUACGGAGGGUGCAAGCGUUAAUCGGAAUUACUGGGCGUAAAGCGCACGCAGGCGGUCUGUCAAGUCGGAUGUGAAAUCCCCGGGCUCAACCUGGGAACUGCAUUCGAAACUGGCAGGCUAGAGUCUUGUAGAGGGGGGUAGAAUUCCAGGUGUAGCGGUGAAAUGCGUAGAGAUCUGGAGGAAUACCGGUGGCGAAGGCGGCCCCCUGGACAAAGACUGACGCUCAGGUGCGAAAGCGUGGGGAGCAAACAGGAUUAGAUACCCGAGUAGUCCCA